This is a non-coding RNA of Jatropha curcas, 826 nucleotides long. The record is from RefSeq and is a predicted model, not a curated record. Lineage: Eukaryota; Viridiplantae; Streptophyta; Magnoliopsida; Malpighiales; Euphorbiaceae.
GCUCUGCUGCGUGAGCUGCCUUCUGUCUUUUUGCAUUUUGUUAAGCAAUCAGCGUAGGAAAGGUGCUGCUCAUGCAAUUGCUAGGGUAGCCGGUUCUAUGUCUGAUAUGAUUGAAUAUGGUAUGUCCUCCAUCCUUCGAUUUAAUAUAAUUACUAUUUCAUUAAAAAAGAAAAAAAAGAAAUACGGGCAAAAAAAAAAAACUAACUGGUGACGGUUGAUGAGGAAGGUUAAACCGUAACUACUGGCCCAGGCCCAACUAAGAACCUAAAAGUUUGAUUAGGGUUUUUCUGGGAGUUAUCUUGUUCCCUAUAUAAUCAACCCGAAGCAAGUAUCUGUGCAACAGCAGCUUUGAAGAGGAAGAUAUGUCAGUAUCACUGGAAGCUUUGGCAAUGGCAGGGGCAGAUUAUGCAGAGUGUAAGAUAGAUAUUGGAUGGUGGGAAAAAAGGAACAGAGAUUUGCCAACCUAUCUGUUAGCUGAAAGGUACAUCCAAAACAGGAAUAACGACUACUGUUUCUGUUUAUAUUCCUCUGAUCGCUUAUCAAAUGUAUGCGAGAGAUGCAAGUUCACAACAUAUUCAAGAACUAGUGUUAGAAAGAUGAUUAGCAAGAGUAGCUUAAUUUCUGUGGGAAAGUUCGUGAUGGAAGCAAUAAAAAAAGUUCUUAAGUUAGUGGUACUUAAGUAAAGCUCUCCCAACGAGCAGGUAGAAUUCUUUUAGAUACGUAAUUUCGACUGUUUCUAUUAGAAUUUUCAUUUUUAAUUGUCAUUUCUUCUCUUUCUUAAACUUUUUAUUUUCAACAUGUUUCUAAAUAAAUUGGUUUUAUUUAA